This 90-nucleotide transfer RNA is filed under the name Rhizobium phage RHph_TM61. RNAcentral's name for it is "tRNA-Ser". It matches the Rfam family "tRNA". Rfam says of the family: Transfer RNA (tRNA) molecules are approximately 80 nucleotides in length. Their secondary structure includes four short double-helical elements and three loops (D, anti-codon, and T loops). The record is from RNAcentral. Lineage: Duplodnaviria; Heunggongvirae; Uroviricota; Caudoviricetes; Kleczkowskaviridae. RNAcentral also lists the same sequence under 4 other names.
GGAGAGGUGCCCGAGUGGUUUAAGGGACUCGUCUACUAAACGAGCGUACGUGAAAGCGUACCAUGGGUUCGAAUCCCAUCCUCUCUGCCA